AUAAAUCCACUUUAAGAAGUCGAAGUAUUCAGAGUACAACAUAAGUGCUCAACAAUGACUACAAGCAACUGCCUACUGGCAGUCACAACAGAAGUCCCAGGCUUUUAUUAUAUCACAAGGAUACACUUGAGCCUGGUGACUACUCACAUAUCAAGAGCAAGAAACGCCAAGAGGCAGGAAGUGCACGCAAGGAAGCUGCGCUCUAGGUAGCUAUGCCCUUCUCCUCUCCUCCGCGGUGGUAUAGAUGGAGAUUGGGGCUCCACGCACUCUAGUCUCACUGCCCACCAUCAACAUCCAUUCCCCUCUGCAAAUACUCAGAACUAUACUUUAAGUACACAUCGUGCACUUGAGUCUCAUCCUGAGACGUUGCAGAGGGAGUGAGCAGUCGGCACGACGCCUCUAUCCUCGACCAGACAACUUGAUAAAGAUCGUGAAGCUCAUCAUCCUUCACUUGCGAGCUCCAGCAUGGUUACUACCAGAAAGCAGGGGG
Molecule: long non-coding RNA, 490 nt
Filed under: Setaria viridis
Lineage: Eukaryota; Viridiplantae; Streptophyta; Magnoliopsida; Poales; Poaceae
Description: long non-coding RNA (SVIR_LNC001701)
Source: RNAcentral